GGGUCAGUAGGUUGGUCGUGCCACCGGUACGUACUGGUCUCACUGAUUCCUCCUUCCUGAAGAACCGUAGUGCCAUUAAUUUGGUGUUGCGGGGAAGCAGGACUGUUACUUUGAAAAAAUUAGAGUGUUUAAAGCAAGCUAACGCUUGAAUACAUUAGCAUGGAAUAAUGAAAUAGGACGAUCGAUCCUAUUUUGUUGGUUUCUAGGAUUGACGUA
Molecule: ribosomal RNA, 216 nt
Filed under: Glomeromycotina sp.
Lineage: Eukaryota; Fungi; Glomeromycota
Description: partial small subunit ribosomal RNA
Rfam family: Eukaryotic small subunit ribosomal RNA (bases 40-216)
Source: RNAcentral